Molecule: small RNA, 154 nt
Filed under: Muricomes intestini
Lineage: Bacteria; Bacillati; Bacillota; Clostridia; Lachnospirales; Lachnospiraceae
Description: Clostridiales-1 RNA
Rfam family: Clostridiales-1 RNA
Source: RNAcentral
UGAUACGAGGGUCAAAAGGUUAUGCGUUUCAUGCUUGCAUGAAAAAGCAUAACUUUGGGACCCCUAAAACAUGAGAAUGCAACCCGAUUAGGGUGGAAUUCUCAUGUUUUUAGGAUUGUUAGAGCACGUAGUGCGUAACAAUCCGUACGUAUCA